UAUGGCUUGUAACGUGGUUGGGCUAAGAAGAACAUUGGUUUUUCUGGAUCACAAAAUCCUUGAGUCAAGAGAGUUAUUCACAUUUAUAAUUUAAGCAUAAACUCUCUUUAAACAACCAAUCUCACUCAUUCCCAACUUUCCUUUUUCUUUGCAUUGAGGUUUUCUUCUCAUUUUAUCUUUUUUUUCUUUUUUUCUUUCUUUUUCAUUUUUUAUGUUUUGCUCAACACAUUAGGCCAAUGCUUAUCUUUUUCUUUU
Molecule: long non-coding RNA, 255 nt
Filed under: Vigna radiata
Lineage: Eukaryota; Viridiplantae; Streptophyta; Magnoliopsida; Fabales; Fabaceae
Description: long non-coding RNA (VRAD_LNC012583)
Source: RNAcentral